CCUACGGGGGGCAGCAGUGAGGAAUAUUGGUCAAUGGGCGCGAGCCUGAACCAGCCAAGUAGCGUGAAGGAUGACUGCCCUACGGGUUGUAAACUUCUUGUAUAAAGGAAUAAAGUGAGGCACGUGUGCGUUUUUGUAUGUACUUUAUGAAUAAGGAUCGGCUAACUCCGUGCCAGCAGCCUCGGUAAUACGGAGGUUCCGAGCGUUAUCCGGAUUUGUGGGGUUUAAAGGGGGCGUAGAUGGGUUGUUAAGUCAGUGGGGCAAGGUUGCGGCUCAACCGUAAAAUUGCACUUGAUACUGGCAGCCUUGAGUACAUUUGCGGUAGGCGGCAUUCGUUGUGUAGCGG
RNAcentral lists this ribosomal RNA (346 nucleotides) under uncultured bacterium. RNAcentral describes it as "partial 16S ribosomal RNA". It matches the Rfam family "Bacterial small subunit ribosomal RNA", at positions 338 to 681 of the family's 1533-position model. The record is from RNAcentral.